RNAcentral lists this ribosomal RNA (377 nucleotides) under uncultured bacterium. RNAcentral's name for it is "bacterial SSU rRNA". It matches the Rfam family "Bacterial small subunit ribosomal RNA", at positions 523 to 898 of the family's 1533-position model. The record is from RNAcentral.
AUACGUAGGGGGCGAGCGUUGUCCGGAAUUACUGGGCGUAAAGGGUGCGUAGGCGGCCGAUUAAGUCAGAUGUGAAAUACCACGGCUCAACUGUGGGGGUGCAUAUGAAACUGGUUGGCUUGAGUGCAGGAGAGGGAAGUGGAAUUCCUAGUGUAGCGGUGAAAUGCGUAGAGAUUAGGAGGAACACCAGUGGCGAAGGCGACUUUCUGGACUGUAACUGACGCUGAGGCACGAAAGCGUGGGGAGCAAACAGGAUUAGAUACCCUGGUAGUCCACGCCGUAAACGAUGGAUACUAGGUGUAGGGGGUAUCGACCCCCCCUGUGCCGGAGUUAACGCAAUAAGUAUCCCGCCUGGGGAGUACGGCCGCAAGGUUGAA